This 173-nucleotide non-coding RNA is filed under the name Clostridiales bacterium. RNAcentral's name for it is "6S RNA". It matches the Rfam family "6S / SsrS RNA". From Rfam's summary of the family: E. coli 6S RNA was the first non coding RNA to be sequenced, but its function was unknown until recently. It consists of 184 nucleotides that fold into an extended hairpin structure with a large single-stranded internal bulge. The 6S RNA specifically associates with RNA polymerase holoenzyme containing the sigma70 specificity factor. The record is from RNAcentral. Lineage: Bacteria; Bacillati; Bacillota; Clostridia; Eubacteriales.
GUAAGCCUAGGAUGUGCGUUGUCAUAUAAAAUUCAACCACUGAAUUUAUAUUGGAAUUUCGGGUUUUAACAUUGAAGACAUGCCUUGUAUGAGGACAUCCGAUAUGCUAAACAGAUCAUCCACCUGUGAGGUGUGGUGUGAAAUUUUUCUGGUGACGGCAUUCCGGGUAAACU